Gossypium raimondii (Peruvian cotton) is the source of this 129-nucleotide non-coding RNA. Lineage: Eukaryota; Viridiplantae; Streptophyta; Magnoliopsida; Malvales; Malvaceae. The record is from Rfam.
UGUUAAAAAAUUUAUCUAUUUAUAUUAUUAAAAAUUAGUGUGGCUGAUAGAAUAACCAAAAAAUAAUGUGCCGCAUGCUAACAUACAUAGACCAAAUUUUAACCGUAAAAAAGGAUAGUGUUUUUAACA